RNAcentral lists this ribosomal RNA (497 nucleotides) under uncultured bacterium. RNAcentral's name for it is "partial 16S ribosomal RNA". It matches the Rfam family "Bacterial small subunit ribosomal RNA", at positions 28 to 507 of the family's 1533-position model. The record is from RNAcentral.
GAUGAACGCUGGCGGCGUGCCUAAUACAUGCAAGUCGAGCGAACGGACGAGAAGCUUGCUUCUCUGAUGUUAGCGGCGGACGGGUGAGUAACACGUGGAUAACCUACCUAUAAGACUGGGAUAACUUCGGGAAACCGUAGCUAAUACCGGAUAAUAUUUUGAACCGCAUGGUUCAAAAGUGAAAGACGGUCUUGCUGUCACUUAUAGAUGGAUCCGCGCUGCAUUAGCUAGUUGGUAAGGUAACGGCUUACCGAGGCAACGAUGCAUAGCCGACCUGAGAGGGUGAUCGGCCACACUGGAACUGAGACACGGUCUAGACUCCUACGGGAGGCAGCAGUAGGGAAUCUUCCGCAAUGGGCGAAAGCCUGACGGAGCAACGCCGCGUGAGUGAUGAAGGUCUUCGGAUCGUAAAACUCUGUUAUUAGGGAAGAACAUAUGUGUAAGUAACUGUGCACAUCUUGACGGUACCUAAUCAGAAAGCCACGGCUAACUACGUG